CCUACGGGGUGCAGCAGUGGGGAAUAUUGGGCAAUGGGCGCAAGCCUGACCCAGCAAUGCCGCGUGAAGGAAGAAGGCUUUCGGGUUGUAAACUUCUUUGACAGGGGGAGAGCAGAAGACGGUACCCUGAAAACAAGCCACGGCUAACUACGUGCCAGCAGCCGCGGUAAUACGUAGGUGGCAAGCGUUGUCCGGAUUUACUGGGUGUAAAGGGCGUUUAGCCGGGAAGGGAAGUCAGAUGUGAAAUCUGGAGGCUCAACCUCCAAAUUGCAUUUGAAACUGUUUUUCUUGAGUACUGGAGAGGCAGACGGAAUUCGUUGUGUAGCGGUGAAAUGCGUAGAUAUAAGGAGGAACACCAGUGGCGAAGGCGGUCUGCUGGACAGCAACUGACGGUGAGGCGCGAAAGCGUGGGGAGCAAACAGGAUUAGAUACCCGGGUAGUC
RNAcentral lists this ribosomal RNA (442 nucleotides) under uncultured bacterium. RNAcentral describes it as "partial 16S ribosomal RNA". It matches the Rfam family "Bacterial small subunit ribosomal RNA", at positions 338 to 795 of the family's 1533-position model. The record is from RNAcentral.